This is a microRNA precursor of Gallus gallus (chicken), 82 nucleotides long. Ensembl annotates it as gga-mir-3535. The record is from Ensembl. Lineage: Eukaryota; Metazoa; Chordata; Aves; Galliformes; Phasianidae.
UGCUGGAUAUGAUGACUGAUUAUCUGAAAUGCUGAUGAAACCACUUCUAAAGUCCUCUAGAUAGUCAAGUGCUGAUCCAGCA